Molecule: ribosomal RNA, 450 nt
Filed under: uncultured bacterium
Lineage: Bacteria
Description: bacterial SSU rRNA
Rfam family: Bacterial small subunit ribosomal RNA
Source: RNAcentral
GGCCUAACACAUGCAAGUCGAACGAACGUAGCAAUACGUUAGUGGCGCACGGGUGAGUAACGCGUGGAUAUCUGCCUUUUGGUUCGGAAUAACCCCGGGAAACUGGGGCUAAUACCGGAUGGUUCCUUCGGGAUAAAGAUUUAUCGCCAAAAGAUGAGUCCGCGUACGAUUAGCUAGUUGGUGAGGUAAUGGCUCACCAAGGCGACGAUCGUUAGCUGGUCUGAGAGGACGAUCAGCCACACUGGGACUGAGACACGGCCCAGACUCCUACGGGAGGCAGCAGUGGGGAAUAUUGGACAAUGGGGGCAACCCUGAUCCAGCCAUGCCGCGUGAGUGAUGAAGGCCUUCGGGUUGUAAAGCUCUUUUGGCGGGGACGAUGAUGACGGUACCCGCAGAAUAAGCCCCGGCUAACUUCGUGCCAGCAGCCGCGGUAAGACGAAGGGGGCUAGC